CCUACGGGGUGCAGCAGUGGGGAAUAUUGGACAAUGGGCGAAAGCCUGAUCCAGCCAUGCCACGUGUGUGAAGAAGGCCUUCGGGUUGUAAAGCACUUUCAGUGGGGAAGAAAGCCUUGGGGCUAAUACCCUCGAGGAAGGACAUCACCCACAGAAGAAGCACCGGCUAACUCCGUGCCAGCAGCCGCGGUAAUACGGAGGGUGCGAGCGUUAAUCGGAAUUACUGGGCGUAAAGCGCGCGUAGGCGGUCUGAUAAGCCGGUUGUGAAAGCCCCGGGCUCAACCUGGGAACGGCAUCCGGAACUGUCAGGCUAGAGUGCAGGAGAGGAAGGUAGAAUUCCCGGUGUAGCGGUGAAAUGCGUAGAGAUCGGGAGGAAUACCAGUGGCGAAGGCGGCCUUCUGGACUGACACUGACGCUGAGGUGCGAAAGCGUGGGUAGCAAACAGGAUUAGAUACCCGUGUAGUC
RNAcentral lists this ribosomal RNA (465 nucleotides) under Vreelandella stevensii. RNAcentral describes it as "partial 16S ribosomal RNA". It matches the Rfam family "Bacterial small subunit ribosomal RNA", at positions 338 to 795 of the family's 1533-position model. The record is from RNAcentral. Lineage: Bacteria; Pseudomonadati; Pseudomonadota; Gammaproteobacteria; Oceanospirillales; Halomonadaceae.